Molecule: transfer RNA, 118 nt
Organism: Cyphellophora europaea CBS 101466
Lineage: Eukaryota; Fungi; Ascomycota; Eurotiomycetes; Chaetothyriales; Cyphellophoraceae
Rfam family: tRNA
About the family: Transfer RNA (tRNA) molecules are approximately 80 nucleotides in length.
Source: Rfam
GGGAGUUUGGCCGAGUGGUUCAAGGCGGUGGAUUUAAGUAACCCUGAUUUCUGUCUGGAAACGGGUGAAAACCUCCACUGGACGCAAGUCCGCGUGAGUUCGAACCUCACAGCUCUCA